AACAUUCAUGCGAGAAUUCCCAAAUGGUUUCAUAAGAAGCUCUUAAACUCAUGGAAGGACAUUAUACACAUUGACCUGAGUUUCAACAAGUUACAAGGUGAUCUUCCAAUUCCACCUGAUGGCAUUGAAGACUUUUUACUCUCAAACAACAACUUCACAGGAGAUAUUUCUUCAACAUUCUGCAAUGCUAGUUCCCUUUAUAUCCUCAAUUUGGCUCACAACAAUUUGACAGGUAUGAUUCCACAAUGUCUAGGAACAUUUUCUUAUCUCUCUAUUUUGGAUAUGCAAAUGAACAACCUCUGUGGAAGCAUUCCUGGAACCUUUUCCAAAGGAAAUAUAUUUGAGACUAUAAAAUUGAAUGGAAACCAAUUGGAAGGACCAUUACCACAAUGUUUGGCUUACUGUUCAUAUCUUGAAGUAUUGGACCUUGGUGACAACAACAUAGAGGAUACUUUUCCCAAUUGGCUAGAAACUCUACAAGAGUUACAGGUGCUAAGUUUACGAUCAAAUCAUCUUCAUGGGUCAAUCACAUGUUCUAGCACCAAGCAUCCAUUUCCUAAGUUGAGAAUUUAUGAUGUCUCUAGUAACAAUUUUAGUGGCCCCUUGCCAACAUCAUGCUUCAAGAACUUUCAAGGAAUGAUGGAUGUGAAUAACAGCCAAAUUGGUUUGCAAUACAUGGGUAAAGCCAGAUACUUUAAUUACUAUAAUGAUUCUGUGGUGAUCAUAAUGAAAGGUCUUUCCAUAGAGUUAACGAGGAUAUUGACUACUUUUACAACUAUUGAUUUAUCAAAUAACAAGUUUGAUGGAGAAAUUUCAGAAGUCAUUGGAGAAUUAAAUUCUCUCAAAGGCCUUAACCUCUCAAACAAUGGAAUCACAGGAACCAUUCCACAAUCUUUAAGUCAUUUGAGAAAUUUAGAGUGGUUGGACCUCUCAAGGAACCAAUUGAAGGGUGAGAUUCCCGUGGCUUUGACAAAUUUGAAUUUCCUCUCAUUCUUAAACCUUUCACAAAACCACCUUGAGGGAGUCAUACCUACAGGUCAACAAUUUGAUACAUUUGGAAAUGAUUCUUAUGAAGGGAAUACAAUGUUGUGUGGAUUCCAAUUGUCUAAAUCAUGCAAAAAUGAGGAAGAUCUUCCACCGCAUUCAACAUCUGAAGAUGAAGAAGAAUCAGGAUUUGGCUGGAAAGCGGUAGCAAUCGGAUAUGGAUGUGGGGCAAUAUAUGGGUUGCUGUUGGGAUAUAAUGUAUUCUUCUUCACUGGAAAACCCCAAUGGCUUGCAAGACAUGUUGAAAAUAUGUUUAACAUAAGAUUGAAAAGAUCAAACAAUAGAGCCAACUUAAAUCGUAGAAGGAUGAAUUAAUUUGAUGAGGGUGUUUUCAAAUAUAUAAAUACAACUGUUUGUAUGUAAUCUAAACAUCCCAGUUUAAGGGAUGUAGCAUUAUAUAUAUAUCUUUUAGUACCAGUGUGUUAUAUAUUUCAAGUUGAUGAAUAAAUAAGGAAUUUAUAGUGAUCAAUUGCUUUUAUGAUACUUUCAAAACAAAAUUAUGUAUAUACUAUAAAAUUUUCAAGACUUAAUUUGAUGUUUUUAAUUUCUAUGAUGGAUAUAGAUGUUUGUGCUUCAAUUGAAGGAUGGUGAUGUUUUUUACCUUUUGAAGAAUGUUUAUUCGAAACCAUAUCCUCAGUGUGUCAUAAUCAACGCCCAGCACACACACAAUAACUCAAGGAAUUCAGUACUAGGCAGGGGCGGAUCCAUCACCCGGCGAGCCCAGGCUCAAUCAAUACUUUUUUUCAUAUUUUGUCCAACCCAAUAGUCCAUUAAUCCACUCAAUUUUUUUUUGGGCAAACUCAAUAUUUUUACAUGCGCCCGCACAAGAAUUCUUGACUCUAUAAUUUUUGCUCAGACUCUAUAAAAUUUCUGGCUCCGCCACGGGUACUAGGUGAUGCAGCCAUUCAAAAACCAAGAGCUUGAACCAGGCUAUCAAAGAAUCAGAUCUAGCAGCCAUUCAAAAAUGCAUUAGCAUUCAUUCUUCAAAAAAAUCUUUUUUAGUACCAUCAUUAUGUUACUUACCUUAGUAGAAUAAAAGCGGAGAUUCCACAGAAUCUUCUUUGUUCUGAAUCCACUCUAGUGCAUUUUCAGAGUUCGAUUCCAAUAUAAUCUCACCAUCUUUUAACCAAAUUUUCUCUAAGGAUACUUCAAGAGCGAAUACAGUUGCUAAAAACUCUGCCUCAUUGGAAUCCCGAACACCUACUUAUGCCAUAAAGCUUCCCAUGAUUGUACCUUUGUCGUUUCCAAGUACACCAGCUGGACCUGGUUUGCCUUUGAAGGUGAGAAAAACACAAGAAGGGGGGUUGAAUUGUGUUUACUUUUUCUUCUUCUUCUCCUAAGCUGAAAACACUGAUUAGAAGCAGAUAGAAUUCUAUUUCUGAAGUGAUGUUCAGAACUAGUUGCAGCGGAUAAAACAGAAAGAAAGAGAAGAAAAACACAUAGCAAUUUAUACAGGUUCCUUCCACAAACCGGAAGUCAGUCAUGCCCCCUUGCACUUCCAAGAGAGUCUAGAUGUCACAUAUAUGUGUUUCAAAAAAAAUAUAUAUAUCAUUUUUCUUCAUGGACUUGGCUCAUUCGGCUAAAGUCAAGUCUUGUCAUAUUUCUAUGGAUGCUAAUGAAUUAAUUAUCGUAUCACUAAAAUUGCAACCACAAAAAAUAUUUCCACUGGAGUGCUCCAUACGGUUGAAGAAGACAUACUACCAAACAAGAGCACCGCAAGACUCAAUUUCUAAAACGUUUACUCGGUUUUCUACGCAAAAUACCUUUCAUUCAUUGGCUCAAUUUAUUUUCUUAAUUUCUUUUAAAUUAAAGGUAACUCUUCCUUCAACUUUAGAAUUAAUUUGUUAAAGUAAUUUUUUCAAAAAAAAUAAAAAAUACUUUACUCAAAAUAAAUUCUAACAAUUGCAUAACCAAAUUUAGUUGAAUAUUGCUUUUCUCACAUUGAAUUUUUCUUAAAAACACAUCGAAAUGAUGCAAAUACCCCCAAUGGUAGUUAACUACCAUUGCAAUAAAAUCGGCGGUAGUUAACUACUGUCGUGCUUAUUUCUUAGCCGUAGUUAACUACCGUUGAGAUUUUUGUACAAAUGACAGAAGCACCUGCAGUUCUGCAUACUCUCAAUUUUCAUACUCUCAAAAUCUCUACAAAAAUUCCCCAAUCUCAUUUUCACGAAAUUCAUCAAAAUUUCUUCAACAAAAUUACAAGUAAGUAAUCAUAGUGCUAUUAACCUAUAAUAUAGUUAGUACAAGGUGUUUUUUUUUAUAAUUUUAGUUUUAGGGUUUAUUGAAAUUUUGAUUUUUUUUUUGGUAAGAAAUGGUUCAAUGUUUACAUGUAAAUGAUUUAUGUUGAUUAAAUGUUUAGAUGUUUAUGUUGUAGUUUUAAGUUUUAGGGUGUAUAAUUUGCACUCCAAAUGUUUGAUGAAAUGUUUGAAUGAGUUGUUCAUUGAUUAUUUUUAAUUUUUUAUGGUGUAGAUCUGAAGCAAUGGACAAUUUGUUCAGCGCUCAAAUAUGCUUUAACGGUGGAAAGUCCAAUUCGUUUAGGGUUCAGGACAAUGCCACGUUAAAAUAUCUGAAGGAUCAACUGGAUGAUCAACCAAUGACUCAACCACGAAGACACAAGGAGGGUGAAUAGGUUUGGUAUGAACGUCAUCGUUCGACUUAGAGGGGUGAUUGAUGUUCAAUCGGCUAGAGUUAACGAACGAGGACGACGUGAAUAUCAUGUUCUCGAUAUUUGGUCAGCACAACAUGUUCCCAACGAUCGAGAUGGAUGCUACGUUGCUGAGAUCACCUGAAGAUAUUCUCAAGAGUUUGAUUCGGCUAGAUAAAGAUGUUUAGGUAGUAUUAUUAUGUAGUGUCUUUAUUUGGUUGGAAUUAAGUUUAAUUCAUGGUAGUCUGUUGAGAGUGUUGGGAUUAAAGUGUCUUAUACUUAGUAUAAAGGUGUGCAUAUAUGUUUCAAAAUUCACAAGAAUGAAGAGAACAUAACAUUUAUUUUGUUGAAUCAACUAUAUAGGUUCUCACAUCGAACUCUUUGGUAUAAGAUGAGUGUCACAAACAGGAAUGCAUUUAUAAGAUGUUGUUUUGAGCUUGAUAUGCUCAUCUGUUAAUUGAAACUUGUCAGUUGACAUGGCAGUAUGAUUAAUUUUAAAAGAAUAUAUUGGAAUGCAUUCAUGUUCGUCAUUGCUCAUCUUAUAUGAAUAAAUUCGGCAUGAGAACAUGUAUAAUUGAUUUGGUAGAAUACAUGUGGUGUUCUCUUUAUUCUUUUGAGUUUUGAAAGAGACUUGCAAAUUUUUAAACUAAGUAUAAGACACUUCAAUGCCAACAUUUUGAGGAAACAGCCAUAAAUUUUAUUUAAAUCCGGCCAACAUCAUGAAGAUGCAACAUCCUUAGAGAUAAUGUAAUGUAGCACAACACUUUGUUUAAAAGUAAAUAAAUUUGUAGUAUUCUAUUGUUUUAAAAUUGAUUUUGCGUACUUUUGUAUAAAUUGAAUUGAUUUUUCAAAGACAUGCUUACCAUUAAGCAAAUGAAUGUUUUUAAAAGGUAUUGAGAAUGAUUGAAUGAAUGUGGUAAAUGAGAAUGAUUAAGCAAUUUUCAACAAACAAUAGUGUUAAAAUGCACCAAAUGUCAACCUAUUUGGGGUUGGUCUAGUGGUUGGCUUGUGAUCUUGGAGUUUGCUCCUCCAAAGGUCUAAGGUUUGAUUCCCCCUGGUGUCAAUUUUGGUGGACUUAGUCGAUUUUUAGAUCGGAUACCGAGUUUUUUAAAAAAAAAACACCAAAUGUCAUAGAAUAGAACCAAGUUUUCAAAAAAAAAAAAAGUGCUUUUUCACAUACAGAAGUUCUUAAAAACACAUUGAAAUGACACAAAUAAAUAAAUUUUGGUGCCUGAUUAGAACAGAGAUGAAAUUAAAACUAAUUUAGUUUUACGCAAUUGUGUUUUUUGUAAGUUAUGAUUUUUAAAAAUUUAUCAAAUGAAUGUUUUUUAAAAAUGCAAAUUGCUGUCAAUAUUUGAAGAAAGGCAACGGUAGUUAUACCGUCGGGGAUAUUUGCACCAUUUCAAUAUGUUUUUAAGAAACUUUGAAUGUGUGUGGAGCAAAUUUCAAAUUUUUUGGUCAUGUAGUCUGUUGGUUAAAAUUCACUUUUAUCAAAAUAAACGAGUAGGGUGCUGGAAUUCAAACUUCAGCUCCUACGUAUAAUAAUGCAUAUCUCUAUCAACUGAGUUAUGUGAAAGAACAAAUUUCAAUUUAGUUUAUGGGAAAAAUGGUUUGGACCAAUGUUUUAAAAACUAGACUUAACCAAUUAAUUGAAUUGGUAAUCAUUCAGUUCACGGUUUAAUAAUGACUACGAUAGUAAAUCGAGAAUCAACUUGUUGGAAGUAUCAAUAGAGUUUCUAAUAUUUUUUAUUUUUCAAAAAUAAGAAGAAUGUAACUAUGUUUGAUAUUAUCAACUGCAAAUAUAUUAUAUGGUCACUAUUAUAUUAAAGAAAUCUAUUUUUUAGAUGUAUUGAAUAAUGCAUGUUUAGACUUUAAGAUAGACCACAUAUAUUAAUUUCUUUUAAGGAAUAUUUUUCUUUAUUUUUGAAAGUUCAUAACUGAAAUUUACCAUGGGUUUUGAUGAUCUGAUUCUCAGUCUUAUAUUUAAUUAUGGACAUUGGUAGAAAGAAACUAAAAAUAAAUACAUGAAAAACUGCUUAAUUUGAUGAUUUGAUUUUGAUGAAUUUUUUUUAUAUAGAAAAAGUGUAAAACUGAUGUUUAAUCUGUUUAAUUUUAAAUUUUUUACACAAGAUUAAAAAUAGGUGGAAAAUAUCCCUCUUUACUGAUACAUUAACAUUGGUAUCCUUAAAAGAAUUGAUGUUUGUAAAAGGUGAAGUAAGUAAGCUUAUCAAAUAGUAAUUAAUUUGGACAAAAAUUGAUAGAAUAAAUAAAAUUGCAGCUUAAGUAUUACAUACGGUUCAAAAGUUUUGGUCUUCCCUUAUAAAAUAAAGAAAAUUGCAACCACAAAAAAUCUUCUUAUCGGAGUGCCUCGUACGGUUUGAAGAAAGCACCCCUAACUAGAAAACAAGAGCAUGCCAAGACUUAUUCAGUUAUGUUUCACAUAUAAAUAACUAGAGUGUAAUGGAUUGGUACAUACAAAAUCAUCAUAAAGUAAAAAAGAAAUAAUAUUGGUAAGAGAGUAUUAGUCUAAGUCGCUCGAAAUGGGGUCCUUUUUUAAAUUUCACUUGUUCUUGUUGUUGUUGAUUACUCAUUUUACUUCAUACACUUUCUCACUAUGCAACCAUCAUGACACCUCUGCCUUGUUACAAUUCAAAAAUUCAUUUUUUGUUGACACUUCAUCAAAACCUGAUCCUUUUUUUAUUUCAUACUCUGGUCCUAGUUGUUCCUCUUUUUCUUUCAAGACAGAAUCUUGGGAAAACAGUACAGAUUGUUGUGAGUGGGAUGGUGUCACGUGCGACACCAUGUCAGAUCACGUGAUUGGUCUGGACCUCAGUUGCAACAAACUAAAAGGUGAAUUACAUCCCAAUAGCAUCAUCUUUCAGCUUAGACACCUUCAACAACUUAAUUUGGCUUUUAAUAAUUUUUCUGGGUCUUCAAUGCCUAUUGGUGUUGGAGAUUUAGUGAAACUCACACAUCUAAAUACAUCAUAUUGUAACCUCAAUGGUAAUAUUCCUUCCACAAUCUCUCAUUUGUCAAAAUUAGUAUCACUUGAUCUUAGCUUUAACUUUGUCGAACUUGAUUCAUUGACAUGGAAGAAACUCAUUCAUAAUGCUACUAAUUUAAGGGAGCUUCAUUUGAAUAUUGUGAACAUGUCUUCCCUCAGAGAGAGCUCUUUGUCAAUGCUAAAGAAUUUGUCAUCCUCUUUGGUUUCUCUUAGUCUAUCAGAAACUGAGUUGCAAGGAAAUUUGUCAAGUGACAUCCUCUCUUUACCUAAUCUUCAAAGAUUGGAUUUGUCAUUUAAUCAAAACCUUAGUGGUCAACUUCCAAAGUCCAACUGGAGCACUCCUCUAAGGUACUUGGUCCUCUCUUCCUCUGCUUUUUCAGGUGAAAUUCCCUAUUCCAUAGGCCAAUUGAAGUAUCUUACUCGAUUAGAUUUUUCACGGUGCAAUUUAGAUGGGAUGGUUCCUCUAUCUUUGUGGAACCUCACCCAACUAACAUAUUUGGACCUUUCAUUUAAUAAACUUAACGGUGAGAUCUCACCAUUACUUUCAAACCUCAAACACCUCAUUCAUUGUGAUCUUGGAUUUAAUAACUUUAGUAGUAGCAUCCCAAUUGUUUAUGGAAAUUUAAUCAAAUUGGAAUAUUUAGCACUUUCCUCUAACAACCUAACAGGCCAAGUUCCAUCAUCACUUUUUCAUCUACCUCAUCUUUCUCAUUUAUAUUUAUCAUCUAACAAACUAGUUGGCCCAAUUCCAAUUGAAAUCACAAAACGUUCAAAAUUGAGCUAUGUGUUUUUGGGUGAUAACAUGUUAAAUGGAACAAUUCCACAUUGGUGUUAUUCUUUGCCUUCGUUGUUAGAGUUGUACCUCAGCAACAACAAUCUCACAGGGUUCAUUGGUGAGUUCUCAACAUAUUCUUUGCAAUAUUUGGAUCUCUCUAAUAACCACCUCACAGGGUUCAUUGGUGAGUUUUCAACAUAUUCUUUGCAAUAUUUGCUUCUCUCUAAUAACAACCUACAAGGUCAUUUUCCAAAUUCAAUAUUUGAACUCCAAAAUCUUACUUACUUAGAUUUGUCAUCAACAAACUUGAGUGGUGUUGUGGAUUUUCACCAAUUUUCAAAAUUAAACAAACUAUGGUUUCUCCAUCUUUCCCAUAAUAGUUUUCUUUCUAUCAACAUUGAUAGCAGUGCUGACUCCAUCUUACCCAACCUUUUUUUAUUAGAUUUAUCCUCUGCUAAUAUUAAUAGUUUUCCUAAAUUCCCAGCACGAAAUCUGAAAAGAUUAUAUCUCUCCAAUAACAACAUUCGUGGGAAAAUUCCCAAAUGGUUUCAUAAGAAGCUCUUAAACUCAUGGAAGGACAUUCAGUACUUAGACCUCAGUUUCAACAAGUUACAAGGAGAUCUUCCAAUUCCACCUUCUGGCAUUGAAUACUUUUCACUCUCAAAUAACAACUUCACAGGAUACAUUUCUUCAACAUUCUGCAAUGCAAGUUCCCUUCGUACCCUCAAUUUGGCUCACAACAACUUUCAAGGAGAUCUUCCAAUUCCACCUUCUGGCAUUCAAUACUUUUCACUCUCAAAUAACAACUUCACAGGAUACAUUUCUUCAACAUUCUGCAAUGCCAGUUCCCUUUAUGUGCUC
This 8328-nucleotide long non-coding RNA is filed under the name Medicago truncatula (barrel medic). Its description in RNAcentral is "long non-coding RNA (MTRU_LNC003617)". The record is from RNAcentral. Lineage: Eukaryota; Viridiplantae; Streptophyta; Magnoliopsida; Fabales; Fabaceae.